AACGAACGCUGGCGGCAGGCUUAACACAUGCAAGUCGAACGCCCCGCAAGGGGAGUGGCAGACGGGUGAGUAACGCGUGGGAAUCUACCUAGUUCUACGGAACAACUGAGGGAAACUUCAGCUAAUACCGUAUACGCCCUACGGGGGAAAGAUUUAUCGGAAUUAGAUGAGCCCGCGUAAGAUUAGCUAAUUGGUGAGGUAAUGGCUCACCAAGGCGACGAUCUUUAGCUGGUCUGAGAGGAUGAUCAGCCACACUGGGUCUGAGACACGGCCCAGACUCCUACGGGAGGCAGCAGUGGGGAAUAUUGGACAAUGGGCGCAAGCCUGAUCCAGCCAGGCCGCGUGAGUGAUGAAGGCCUUAGGGUUGUAAAGCUCUUUCAGUGGGGAAGAUAAUGACGGUACCCACAGAAGAAGCCCCGGCUAACUUCGUGCCAGCCGCCGCCGUAA
This 447-nucleotide ribosomal RNA is filed under the name uncultured bacterium. RNAcentral's name for it is "partial 16S ribosomal RNA". It matches the Rfam family "Bacterial small subunit ribosomal RNA", at positions 29 to 523 of the family's 1533-position model. The record is from RNAcentral.